This 335-nucleotide unclassified non-coding RNA is filed under the name soil metagenome. RNAcentral describes it as "partial contains 5.8S ribosomal RNA, internal transcribed spacer 2, and large subunit ribosomal RNA". The stretch from base 1 to 120 matches the Rfam family "5.8S ribosomal RNA", at positions 35 to 154 of the family's 154-position model. The record is from RNAcentral.
GAUGAAGAACGCAGCGAAAUGCGAUAAGUAGUGUGAAUUGCAGAAUUCAGUGAAUCAUCGAAUCUUUGAACGCACAUUGCGCCCCUUGGUAUUCCAUGGGGCAUGCCUGUUCGAGCGUCAUCUACACCCUCAAGCUCUGCUUGGUGUUGGGCGUCUGUCCCGCCUCUGCGCGCGGACUCGCCCCAAAUUCAUUGGCAGCGGUCCUUGCCUCCUCUCGCGCAGCACAUUGCGCUUCUCGAGGUGCGCGGCCCGCGCCCACGAAGCAACAUUACCGUCUUUGACCUCGGAUCAGGUAGGGAUACCCGCUGAACUUAAGCAUAUCAAUAAGCGGAGGA